RNAcentral lists this unclassified non-coding RNA (423 nucleotides) under uncultured Inocybe. RNAcentral describes it as "sequence contains ITS2". The stretch from base 1 to 154 matches the Rfam family "5.8S ribosomal RNA". The record is from RNAcentral. Lineage: Eukaryota; Fungi; Basidiomycota; Agaricomycetes; Agaricales; Cortinariaceae.
AACUUUUAGCAACGGAUCACUGGGCUCUCGCAUCGAUGAAGAACGCAGCGAAAUGCGAUAAGUAAUGUGAAUUGCAGCAUUCAGGGAAUCAUCGAAUCUUUGAACGCAUCUUGCGCUCCUUGGUAUUCCGAGGAGCAUGCCUGUUUGAGUGUCAUUUGACUUAUCAACCGCUUCAUGGUGAACAUGGACGUGGCUUUGGAUGUGGGGGUCUUUGCAGGCUUUUUUGAAUCUGAAAGGUCGGCUCCCCUGAAACGCAUUAGUGGCAUCUGAGCUGCUACUAUAGGUGUGAUAAAUUAUCUAUGCCUUUGGUAUGCUGCAUGAACGGAUUGCGCUGCUUACAACGACGAAAAAGAACUUGACAAACUUGACCUCAAAUCAGGUAGGACUACCCGCUGAACUUAAGCAUAUCAAUAAGCGGAGGCU